AUGGGAUUGACCCCUAGGGUCUAACCUCCAACCCUUUGUUUUUACAACCCUUGUUUCUUUGGCGGGUUCGCCCGUCAGAAGAAUUCUCAAACUCAUAUCAAUCGUGUCUUCUGAAAUACAAAAACAAAUAAAAUUA
RNAcentral lists this unclassified non-coding RNA (136 nucleotides) under uncultured Ascomycota. RNAcentral describes it as "sequence contains ITS1". Lineage: Eukaryota; Fungi; Ascomycota. The record is from RNAcentral.